Molecule: ribosomal RNA, 365 nt
Filed under: uncultured bacterium
Lineage: Bacteria
Description: partial 16S ribosomal RNA
Rfam family: Bacterial small subunit ribosomal RNA
Source: RNAcentral
CCUACGGGAGGCAGCAGUGAGGAAUAUUGGUCAAUGGGCGGAAGCCUGAACCAGCCAAGUAGCGUGCAGGAUGACGGCCCUACGGGUUGUAAACUGCUUUUAUACGGGAAUAACGCGCCGUACGUGUAGGGCUUUGCAUGUACCGUAUGAAUAAGGACCGGCUAAGUCCGUGCCAGCAGCCGCGGUAAUACGGAAGGUCCGGGCGUUCUCCGGAUUGAUGGGGGUUAAAGGGAGCGUAGGCGGCAUGUCAAGCGUGCUGUGAAAUGUCCGGGCUCAACCCGGGCCUUGCAGCGCGAACGGGCGUGCUUGCGUCCGCUGCAAGCAGGCGGACUUCGUCGUGUAGCGGUGCAAUGCUUAGAUAUUAC